UGGGGAAUAUUGCACAAUGGGCGAAAGCCUGAUGCAGCAACGCCGCGUGAGUGAUGAAGGCCUUCGGGUUGUAAAGCUCUGUCUUUUGGGACGAUAAUGACGGUACCAAAGGAGGAAGCCACGGCUAACUACGUGCCAGCAGCCGCGGUAAUACGUAGGUGGCAAGCGUUGUCCGGAUUUACUGGGCGUAAAGGAUGCGUAGGCGGAUUUUUAAGUGAGAUGUGAAAUACCCGGGCUUAACUUGGGUGCUGCAUUUCAAACUGGGAAUCUAGAGUGCGGGAGAGGAGAAUGGAAUUCCUAGUGUAGCGGUGAAAUGCGUAGAGAUUAGGAAGAACACCAGUGGCGAAGGCGAUUCUCUGGACCGUAACUGACGCUGAGGCAUGAAAGCGUGGGUAGCAAAACAGGAUUAGAUACCCUGGUAGUCCACGCCGUAAACGAUGAGUACUAGGUGUAGGAGGUAUCGACCCCUUCUGUGCCGCAGUUAACACAAUAAAGUACUCCGCCUGGGAAGUAACGAUCGCAAGAUUAAAAACUCAAAAGGAAUUGACGGGGUCAAUAGCUG
RNAcentral lists this ribosomal RNA (562 nucleotides) under uncultured bacterium. Its description in RNAcentral is "partial 16S ribosomal RNA". It matches the Rfam family "Bacterial small subunit ribosomal RNA", at positions 355 to 932 of the family's 1533-position model. The record is from RNAcentral.